AUCCCGUACGAUCAUCGAAAUUAAGCAAUGUCGAGACUGGUCAGUACGUAGAUGAGUGACCGCUUGGGAAUACCAGGUGUUGUAUG
Molecule: non-coding RNA, 86 nt
Organism: Acanthosepion pharaonis
Lineage: Eukaryota; Metazoa; Mollusca; Cephalopoda; Sepiida; Sepiidae
Source: the annotation of a GenBank genome assembly